Ipomoea nil (Japanese morning glory) is the source of this 105-nucleotide long non-coding RNA. RefSeq lists it as uncharacterized. The record is from RefSeq and is a predicted model, not a curated record. The transcript has 3 exons. NCBI's taxonomy places the organism in Eukaryota, Viridiplantae, Streptophyta, Magnoliopsida, Solanales, Convolvulaceae.
UACAUGUGUGUAUGUGGCUGAUUCAGCGGAGUAGAAUCUCUUAUUUAUUGCAAACAAAAUAAAUAAAUAUAAAUAAAUAAAACAGUCUCAAUUUUUUCUUUAGUA